CCCUUAGAUGUUCUGGGCCGCACGCGCGCUACACUGACGAAUGCAACGAGCUUAUAACCUUGGCCGAAAGGUCUGGGUAAUCUCCAAAUUUUGUCGUGAUGGGGAUAGAUUAUUGCAAUUAUUAAUCUUCAACGAGGAAUGCCUAGUAAGCGCAAGUCAUCAGCUUGCGUUGAUUACGUCCCUGCCCUUUGUACACACCGCCCGUCGCUCCUACCGAUUGAAUGGUCCGGUGAAGCGUUCGGACCGUGGCCUUUGGACGGUUCGCCGUCUGUUGGCUGCGGGAAGUUCGUUAAACCUUAUCAUUUAGAGGAAGGAGAAGUCGUAACA
Molecule: ribosomal RNA, 327 nt
Filed under: uncultured eukaryote
Lineage: Eukaryota
Description: partial 18S ribosomal RNA
Rfam family: Eukaryotic small subunit ribosomal RNA
Source: RNAcentral